RNAcentral lists this ribosomal RNA (446 nucleotides) under uncultured bacterium. RNAcentral's name for it is "SSU rRNA". It matches the Rfam family "Bacterial small subunit ribosomal RNA", at positions 26 to 518 of the family's 1533-position model. The record is from RNAcentral.
AGGAUAAACGCUGGCGGCGUGCCUUAUGCAUGCAAGUCGCACGCACCGCAAGGUGAGUGGCGGACGGGUGAGUAACACGUAGGAACCUGCCCGGAAGUGGGGAAUAACUCCUCGAAAGAGGGGCUAAUACCGCAUACGGUCGAGAGACCAAAGCUUCGGCGCUUUCGGAGGGGCCUGCGGCGGAUUAGCUUGUUGGUGGGGUAACGGCCUACCAAGGCGACGAUCCGUAGCUGGUCUGAGAGGAUGGUCAGCCACACUGGGACUGAGACACGGCCCAGACUCCUACGGGAGGCAGCAGCAAGGAAUUUUGCGCAAUGGACGAAAGUCUGACGCAGCAACGCCGCGUGGGGGAUGAAGGCUCUCGGGUUGUAAACCCCUUUUGCGAGGGACGAAGAUCUGACGGUACCUCGCGAAUAAGCCACGGCUAACUACGUGCCAGCAGCCGC